CAGUAGCCGCGGGAAUACGAAGGGGGCUAGCGUUGUUCGGAAUUACUGGGCGUAAAGCGCACGUAGGCGGAUAUUUAAGUCAGGGGUGAAAUCCCGCAGCUCAACUGCGGAACUGCCUUUGAUACUGGGUAUCUUGAGUAUGGAAGAGGUUAGUGGAAUUGCGAGUGUAGAGGUGAAAUUUGUAGAUAUUCGCAGGAACACCAGUGGCGAAGGCGGCUAACUGGUCCAUAACUGACGCUGAGGUGCGAAAGCGUGGGGAGCAAACAGGAUUAGAGACCCCCGUAGUCCCUGUCUCUUAUAC
This 301-nucleotide ribosomal RNA is filed under the name uncultured bacterium. RNAcentral describes it as "partial 16S ribosomal RNA". It matches the Rfam family "Bacterial small subunit ribosomal RNA", at positions 509 to 807 of the family's 1533-position model. The record is from RNAcentral.